GAACUGCUGGAGUCUGGAGCGCCGGGACACGAGGCAUGAAAGUGUUUGAUUCAAAGCGCUGCGGGAACUAGUUAACCCUGGCCAAGUGUGAAGAUCCACAGAAAAAAAGGAGUUUGGAACGACAUGAGGGGUAAAAACAUCAGACCUGUGUCAUCGUGGGCUGUAAUGAGGACAUCCGUUUGCAUGAGUGCAUAAUCUCCUGAAGAGGAGCAUCAUGGGAACCGUGACACUCAGGUCUCUCUCGGCUCACUGAGAGUCCUCCGCAAGAGCUGUCAAUCACGGACAGAUCCUCAGACUCGCUCCCUCCUGGAUCGUAAUGAGAGUUUCUGUAUAUGUGAAUUAUGGCACAUAAAACAGUAAAUAUAUUGUUGUUUGUUCACUAAACAACUAUGAUACUACAAUAGAGUAUUUGUUGACAGAUCCU
This is a long non-coding RNA of Pimephales promelas (fathead minnow), 424 nucleotides long. RefSeq lists it as uncharacterized. The record is from RefSeq and is a predicted model, not a curated record. NCBI's taxonomy places the organism in Eukaryota, Metazoa, Chordata, Actinopteri, Cypriniformes, Leuciscidae.